Molecule: transfer RNA, 71 nt
Filed under: Marmota monax (woodchuck)
Lineage: Eukaryota; Metazoa; Chordata; Mammalia; Rodentia; Sciuridae
Description: tRNA.Ala
Rfam family: tRNA
About the family: Transfer RNA (tRNA) molecules are approximately 80 nucleotides in length.
Source: RNAcentral
GGGGUUGUGGCUCAGUGGUAGAGCACUCACCCUGCAUAUGUGAAGCCCUGGGUUUGAUCCCCAGCACCACA